UUGGGUAAUAUAAAUAAUAUAUUUUGCUUACACCAAAAAUUUGGCCACUGGCCCCCUAACAUG
Molecule: transfer RNA, 63 nt
Filed under: Lamprotula leaii
Lineage: Eukaryota; Metazoa; Mollusca; Bivalvia; Unionida; Unionidae
Description: tRNA-Val
Source: RNAcentral